UAUGUUAUAGGGAACGAUGAUUCAUAUAUUUAUUUGGGCACUUUAUAUGUGAUGAGUUAAUAGUGCAACCGACCUUUAUAGUU
RNAcentral lists this non-coding RNA (83 nucleotides) under Clostridium chromiireducens. Its description in RNAcentral is "c-di-GMP-II sequence". It matches the Rfam family "Cyclic di-GMP-II riboswitch aptamer". The record is from Rfam by way of RNAcentral. Lineage: Bacteria; Bacillati; Bacillota; Clostridia; Eubacteriales; Clostridiaceae.